This 253-nucleotide ribosomal RNA is filed under the name uncultured bacterium. Its description in RNAcentral is "partial 16S ribosomal RNA". It matches the Rfam family "Bacterial small subunit ribosomal RNA", at positions 524 to 776 of the family's 1533-position model. The record is from RNAcentral.
GACGUAGGGCGCGAGCGUUGUCCGGAUUUAUUGGGCGUAAAGAGCGUGUAGGCGGCCAUACAGGUCAGCUGUGAAAACUCGAGGCUCAACCUCGAGACGUCGGUUGAAACCAUAUGGCUAGAGUCCGGAAGAGGAGAGUGGAAUUCCCGGUGUAGCGGUGAAAUGCGCAGAUAUCGGGAAGAACACCUGUGGCGAAGGCAGCUCUCUGGGACGGUACUGACGCUGAGACGCGAAAGCGUGGGGAGCGAACAGG